Molecule: ribosomal RNA, 497 nt
Filed under: uncultured bacterium
Lineage: Bacteria
Description: partial 16S ribosomal RNA
Rfam family: Bacterial small subunit ribosomal RNA
Source: RNAcentral
GAUGAACGCUGGCGGCGUGCCUAAUACAUGCAAGUCGAGCGAACAGACGAGGAGCUUGCUCCUCUGACGUUAGCGGCGGACGGGUGAGUAACACGUGGAUAACCUACCUAUAAGACUGGGAUAACUUCGGGAAACCGGAGCUAAUACCGGAUAAUAUAUUGAACCGCAUGGUUCAAUAGUGAAAGACGGUUUUGCUGUCACUUAUAGAUGGAUCCGCGCCGCAUUAGCUAGUUGGUAAGGUAACGGCUUACCAAGGCGACGAUGCGUAGCCGACCUGAGAGGGUGAUCGGCCACACUAGAACUGAGACACGGUCCAGACUCCUACGGGAGGCAGCAGUAGGGAAUCUUCCGCAAUGGGCGAAAGCCUGACGGAGCAACGUCGCGUGAGUGAUGAAGGUCUUCGGAUCGUAAAACUCUGUUAUUAGGGAAGAACAAAUGUGUAAGUAACUAUGCACGUCUUGACGGUACCUAAUCAGAAAGCCACGGCUAACUACGUG